GAAAGAACCCAGUCUACACAUGAAUUGCUAAGGUCAAUGCACUGAAAAGAAGGAAGUUGAAGUUAGAUCAACAUAGAGAUGGCUAGUUUUUUUGCUGUUCUGCUCUACAAUGGACUAAUUUGAGACCCUCUCCCCCUGGAUGGCUGUGCAAUUAUUUGUACAGGCAAUUCACUCCACCAGGAAAGAGUCCUGUGGAAAUGAGGAGGAAGUAGAUGACAGUAGCACUUAGGUUAUUCUUAACAACGAAAAAGUUUACCGAAUGAUAGAAGUUCUGGCCAGAGUUUAAAGUGUUCUAUGUAUCAAUAAAAAAAGACAACAGACGAAACAUCUGGGAGCUUCUGCAGGAAAAAGAAGAAAGAAGAAUUAAAGGUUACCAAGCGGAACAAGGAAGAGAGAAAUGAAUUGUUACAUGGCAAUGAAGAAUAAACUCCUGAGA
Molecule: long non-coding RNA, 436 nt
Organism: Magallana angulata
Lineage: Eukaryota; Metazoa; Mollusca; Bivalvia; Ostreida; Ostreidae
Exons: 5
Source: RefSeq, a predicted model, not a curated record